GUCUAUGCCCUGACCGAUGAAUGUUAACUGUUGAAUAAAUUUAUUUUGGUAGUAAAGCUAACGCGUUAAACAUUCCGCCUGAGAACUACGGCCGCAAGGUUGAAACUCAAAGAAAUUGGCGGAGGGCUAAAAACAACGGUGGAGCAUGUUGUUUAAUUUGAUAUAACACAAGAAAUCUUACCAACCCUUGUAUGCAUAGUAUGAAUUUUUCGUUUUUUUAAAUUAAUUUAUUAAUUUGCUAUGUACAGGCGUUGCAUGGCUGUCGU
Molecule: ribosomal RNA, 266 nt
Filed under: uncultured bacterium
Lineage: Bacteria
Description: partial 16S ribosomal RNA
Rfam family: Bacterial small subunit ribosomal RNA
Source: RNAcentral